UACAUGGCGUCAUGGUGUGCGGGUAGAUGGGUGUGUAUGGCCUCUUUCGCUUGGUAUAGUAUCUUCAAGGUCCAUCCUUCUUACAGGACAUCUUUUCAUAACCAAAGACACUGAAUUUUACAGAACCAUCAUGACUUUCGGGGCUUUUCCACUUUUUGUUUCUUAUGAAAAAUGCUGCCGUGAGCAUUCAUGUAUUCUCUCUAUUGCUUUUUUUUUUUUUUUUCAGUACUAAAGGUCAAAUUCCAGGCCCAUGCUCGACAAUCAUUGUACUUCAGAGCUAUGUUUCCAAUCUUCUGUCUCUUUUGAAAUAGUAAUUUUGCUAGGAAAUGCUCCUACUCUUCUGACUGUCUCUCAAGUAUGAUGCCCACAACCCCAUAUUAUUAUUGUUGUUGUUGUUGUUGUAAUAUACUAGGUAUGGAGAUCAGUAAUUACAUACACACAGUGGUUCACAAAGCUAAUGUCUGGCUAUCCUCACCAAACACUUGUCUGGUUAAUGGCAUCUCGAUGACUUGGAUUAAAAGAUGACAAGGAGCCCUGCUGUCCUCCUGAGCUUACUUAGCCUGCUCUGUAUCAGGCUGUGCACUCUAUGGAGCAGUCAAAGAGCAAGACGUGGUCCCUGCCGCUCGACUGCUUGAAGAGACAGUUCACUUGGUCUUGGCGGCCAGAGCAGGAAACUGCAGCCCCAAAACAUUAAAGUUAGCCAAGGAAAGAGCCCGAUAAACACAAAACACAAAGGUCCAGAUGUGAUAGGAGGAGAGGGUAUAUCGAGGAAGCUGAACGGAAAAGGACCCCACUGUUAAAGGGUUGACUGCCCUUUGGGAAGCUCCCCGGCUCAAUGCAGGAUUAGACAGUCACUGAGUGCUUGGGCCUCCGAGGCAAACACAGAGAAAGGGAUUUGUGGGCUCUUUACCUCAAAGUCUUCAUUUCAGAAUUGAGUGUGCUUGUCUCUUAAUCACAGCUUUCAUUUGGUCCCAACUUAACUUCAUUUUUUGGUUUAUUGAGACAGGGUUUCUCUGUGUAGCCCUGGCUGUCCUGGAACUCACUCUGUAGACCAGGCUGGGCUUGAAUGCAUGUAUAUCCACCUGCCUCUGCCUCCCCAGUGCUGGAACUAAAGGCAUGUGCUACCACACUCAACAACUGACUAUGUUUUCAUUUGUUUUUAAAGAUUUAUUUAUUUUUAUUUUAUAUGCAUUAGUGUUUUGCCUGCCUGAAUGUCUGAAUGAAAAUGCCAGAUCCCCUAGAACUGGAGUUAGACAGUCAUGAGCUGCCAUGUGGAUGCUGGGAAUCGAACCUGGGUCCUCUGGAAGAGCAACCAGUACUCUUAACCACUGAGCCAUCUCUCCAGCCCCUUAAUGAUUUAAUUUAUUAUUGAACAAAUAUAUAAAUAAAAGUCCUUUGAUGUCUGAGGCCACAGAAUGUUAUUCAUGCUUAGUUCUUCACUAGCAAGGAUUAAAUAGUAAAGUUGGUGAGAUAUGGACAAAGGAAAAAAAUCAAUAUUUUAUAUAUGACAGUUUUAAUGAAUUACUUCUUCCAAAGAACAGGUACCAAAAAAUAACUUGAACUCCCAGCUGCUAUCUGUCAUCAGUAUGCUACUCUAUAUAUGAUAAGUUAUAUACCAUAUGUUAUGGAUACUGUAGCACUAUAUAGUUUUAAAACAAUGCUGCUUUUACCACAUAUAUAAUAUGUAUACUGUAGUACUAUAUAAUAUCUCUGUAUUUUGUGUAUUUUUACCAUAUAUGGGGGGGGGUUGUGUUGCUAGGGAUCAAGCCAAGGUCCUCUUGUACUCCACUUAAGCGCUCUGCCAUUGAGCUAACCUCCAGCCCUUACCACUAUACUGAUUAAGAGUGCUAACCCAAGGACACGUCAACCAAGAAGGCCCUUAACUGCUUUUGCUUUGGAAAUCUUUCUGUUUUCUCUUUGAGCUCAGGAAAGAACCAUGGAAGUAUGAAGAGUACGGUUCUGUGGGGCUGGGGAGAAGGCACAGUGGGUAAGAAUGCUUGCUGUGGAUGCAUGGAGACCUGAGUUCAAAUCCUAGCACCCACAUAUAAAGCUGGGUAUGCCCACAUGUGCCCGAAAACCCAACACUGGGAGGCUGAGACCAACGUCCCCGAAGCUUGCUGACCUGGUAGCCUAAACAAAGUGGCGAGUUUCAGGUUGGGUGAGAGAUCCUGUUUCAAGGGAAUAGGGGAGAAGGAGCAAUGGAAAGAGAUGAGAGUGGGGAGAGGGAGCAAGGGAAAGAGGGAGGAAGAGAGGGAGAGGGAAAGAAAGUAGAGAUAGAUACUGAGUGAGUGUGUAUGGGUACAUGCGCCCACAUUUACAAAAGCGUUCCACAUGAUAAGCAAUGUGAGUGCAAUGAGUAAUGACGAAUACAAGGCAGAGUAAGGUACUGUGCCCUUGAUGAACUUCCAGCUCAACUGGUAAUAUAGGAAGUGUCAGGGAGGAAGGCUGAAAGAGGAAGAUAUAGGAAGUGUCAGAGAGGAAGGCUGAAAGAGGAAGAUGGUCACCCCGCCACCUGCUGUUAAUGUUCAAGAUUCAUUCCUAUAUGAACUUGUGUUGGAGACUGGUUCUAAUGUUUUGAUUCAAUCGGAGAUCUGUGUGUCGAGACACUGAAGGUAUUUGUUCCCAAUUAGUUUUUGAUUGAUCAAUAAAGAUAUCAAUGGCCAAUGGCUGAGCACUUAGAAGAUGCAGAGGAACAAGACUUUCUCUGUGACUAGGGGAAGAAGGAUGUGAUGCAAUAGAGGCAGGAGCAAAAGCCAACCAGACAUGUGAGAUUUCAGGCAAAUCCACCUCUCACCCUGUGGUUCCAGAAAUCUAAUACAAGGUUCAGAUGCGAGGCUCUCUCAGAUGCAAAAAAGAGAAGAAGAAGAAGAAGAAGAAGAAGAAGAAGAAGAAGAAGAAGAAGAAGAAGAAGAAGAAGAAGAAGAAGAAGAAGAAGAAGAAGAGGAAGAAGAAGAAGAAGAAGAAGAAGAGGAAGAAGAGGAGGAAGAGGAGGAAGAGGAGGAAGAGGAGGAAGAGGAGGAAGAGGAGGAAGAGGAGGAAGAGGAGGAAGAGGAGGAAGAGGAGGAAGAGGAGGAAGAGGAGGAAGAGGAGGAAGAGGAGGAAGAGGAGGAAGAGGAGGAAGAGG
Molecule: long non-coding RNA, 3124 nt
Filed under: Mus musculus (house mouse)
Lineage: Eukaryota; Metazoa; Chordata; Mammalia; Rodentia; Muridae
Description: cDNA sequence BC026513, transcript variant 2 (BC026513)
Source: RNAcentral